Molecule: ribosomal RNA, 914 nt
Filed under: Escherichia coli
Lineage: Bacteria; Pseudomonadati; Pseudomonadota; Gammaproteobacteria; Enterobacterales; Enterobacteriaceae
Description: partial 23S ribosomal RNA
Rfam family: Bacterial large subunit ribosomal RNA
Source: RNAcentral
UGUGUGUUAGUGGAAGCGUCUGGAAAGGCGCGCGAUACAGGGUGACAGCCCCGUACACAAAAAUGCACAUGCUGUGAGCUCGAUGAGUAGGGCGGGACACGUGGUAUCCUGUCUGAAUAUGGGGGGACCAUCCUCCAAGGCUAAAUACUCCUGACUGACCGAUAGUGAACCAGUACCGUGAGGGAAAGGCGAAAAGAACCCCGGCGAGGGGAGUGAAAAAGAACCUGAAACCGUGUACGUACAAGCAGUGGGAGCACAGAGCAAUCUGUGUGACUGCGUACCUUUUGUAUAAUGGGUCAGCGACUUAUAUUCUGUAGCAAGGUUAACCGAAUAGGGGAGCCGAAGGGAAACCGAGUCUUAACCGGGCGUUAAGUUGCAGGGUAUAGACCCGAAACCCGGUGAUCUAGCCAUGGGCAGGUUGAAGGUUGGGUAACACUAACUGGAGGACCGAACCGACUAAUGUUGAAAAAUUAGCGGAUGACUUGUGGCUGGGGGUGAAAGGCCAAUCAAACCGGGAGAUAGCUGGUUCUCCCCGAAAGCUAUUUAGGUAGCGCCUCGUGAAUUCAUCUCCGGGGGUAGAGCACUGUUUCGGCAAGGGGGUCAUCCCGACUUACCAACCCGAUGCAAACUGCGAAUACCGGAGAAUGUUAUCACGGGAGACACACGGCGGGUGCUAACGUCCGUCGUGAAGAGGGAAACAACCCAGACCGCCAGCUAAGGUCCCAAAGUCAUGGUUAAGUGGGAAACGAUGUGGGAAGGCCCAGACAGCCAGGAUGUUGGCUUAGAAGCAGCCAUCAUUUAAAGAAAGCGUAAUAGCUCACUGGUCGAGUCGGCCUGCGCGGAAGAUGUAACGGGGCUAAACCAUGCACCGAAGCUGCGGCAGCGACACUGUGUGUUGUUGGGUAGGGGAGCGU